Molecule: ribosomal RNA, 431 nt
Filed under: uncultured bacterium
Lineage: Bacteria
Description: partial 16S ribosomal RNA
Rfam family: Bacterial small subunit ribosomal RNA
Source: RNAcentral
AGCGAACGCUGGCGGCAGGCCUAACACAUGCAAGUCGAACGAACUCUUCGGAGUUAGUGGCGGACGGGUGAGUAACACGUGGGAACGUGCCUUUAGGUUCGGAAUAACUCAGGGAAACUUGUGCUAAUACCGAAUGUGCCCUUCGGGGGAAAGAUUUAUCGCCUUUAGAGCGGCCCGCGUCUGAUUAGCUAGUUGGAGGUAAAGGCUCACCAAGGCGACGAUCAGUAGCUGGUCUGAGAGGAUGAUCAGCCACAUUGGGACUGAGACACGGCCCAAACUCCUACGGGAGGCAGCAGUGGGGAAUCUUGCGCAAUGGGCGAAAGCCUGACGCAGCCAUGCCGCGUGAAUGAUGAAGGUCUUAGGAUUGUAAAAUUCUUUCACCGGGGACGAUAAUGACGGUACCCGGAGAAGAAGCCCCGGCUAACUUCGUG